AAGAAAGAGAGAGACAGUUUAUUGGUUAGUACCUGAGGCUGCUAAAAUCUGUUGAAUUGGUGAUAUCAGUGAGAGGUACGUGGAAAGCUUCAGACCAAGAAAGUUGUUGAAGACAUGUAGCAGAAGGAGUUCCCCACCGGUGAUGGUUUCAAUGACCGUGGAGACAAAGAAGAUGCCUGUCCUUCACGUCGGAAGGAGGACGAUGAGGGAGCAGGAAAUUAAACCUUGUGCAAUAAGCAGCGACAAACAGGGACCCAUUUAAUUUGCAUAAAUCAAAAUUAAAUUAGGCAUGUUUUUUAAAUUGAUCGUGAUUAAUUCAAGCAUAUGAUAUAAUUGAUUUACAUUGUUUUUUCAAAACAACUCAUGUGUAUAAAACAUGCUUUAUUGAUGAUCUUGAAGUACCUAUUUCAAUU
Molecule: long non-coding RNA, 413 nt
Organism: Lycium ferocissimum
Lineage: Eukaryota; Viridiplantae; Streptophyta; Magnoliopsida; Solanales; Solanaceae
Exons: 2
Source: RefSeq, a predicted model, not a curated record